RNAcentral lists this ribosomal RNA (318 nucleotides) under uncultured soil bacterium. RNAcentral's name for it is "bacterial SSU rRNA". It matches the Rfam family "Bacterial small subunit ribosomal RNA", at positions 26 to 372 of the family's 1533-position model. The record is from RNAcentral.
AGAACGAACGCUGGCGGCAUGCCUAAUACAUGCAAGUCGAACGAAGGCUUCGGCCUUAGUGGCGCACGGGUGCGUAACGCGUGGGAAUCUGCCCCUUGGUUCGGAAUAACAGUUGGAAACGACUGCUAAUACCGGAUGAUGACGAAAGUCCAAAGAUUUAUCGCCAAGGGAUGAGCCCGCGUAGGAUUAGCUAGUUGGUGAGGUAAAGGCUCACCAAGGCGACGAUCCUUAGCUGGUCUGAGAGGAUGAUCAGCCACACUGGGACUGAGACACGGCCCAGACUCCUACGGGAGGCAGCAGUAGGGAAUAUUGGACAAU